Molecule: long non-coding RNA, 6062 nt
Filed under: Capsicum annuum
Lineage: Eukaryota; Viridiplantae; Streptophyta; Magnoliopsida; Solanales; Solanaceae
Description: long non-coding RNA (CANN_LNC006311)
Source: RNAcentral
UGACCCGACCAAAACAGCAACACAUCAAAACACACACACAACCCUAAAUCGCAACCAAAACACACACACUCAGCAACACACACACACACCAACAAACACGGCAACAACUUCAACUCUGACGAAGGCGAUGACGACAGCAACACACGCACGACGACGGCGACCUUUGUUCUACUGGUAAAUUUCUUUUCCCUUUUUAAUCUUUUCUUUUUUCUUUCUAAAUCUUGAACUUUACUUAUUAUUGCAAUAUUUUUCCACAUUUCUUGACUUAUUAUUGCAACUUCAAAGUACAAAAGGAAUAUAAUUCUACCAAACUUUUUGUUAAUUUAUAUAAUUUUUAUGGCUCUUUAUAUAUUUUUAUGAUAUGGGUGUGGGUAAAAAUUGGAUCUUGAUGAACCUUUUUGCUUGUAUUUUUUUGUGUAGUUUGACUUAGGUGUGUGUAAAAAUCGGAUCUUGAUUUAGAAAAUGCUACAAAAAGGAGAAAAAAAGAUAUAUUCCUCCACUAAAAUAUUAGUUGUAGUUGAUUUGAAAAUUAACAUUUACAAAUAAUUGAUUGAUUCAAGUAGCAGAUUAGAAAAAUAGCAAGACUAUAAAGCAACAAGACAUGUAACAAACAACAAAACUUGGGUCUACGCGCCUAAAGAACUAUUAUUGUUGCUUGAAUCUCAAUGAGAUUGAAUAUGGUUGUGAAACUAAGCAGUAGCCCAUAAUUUUAUUAGCCAAUUUUGUCUAUCUACUGAACAAAAGUUUUGAUCCUCUAAGAUUAUGUUAGCAUUUAAAUAAUUUGACCACUUGAAUGGACGAAGGAAUAUCCCUUGUUAAAAGAGAAAUAACAAAUUUUUUUCUUUUUUCGAGAGAAUUCAUAUUCGAAAAAGGAUUGCUUUGCUAUUUUUCGGUGACCUCUUAUCUCUUUCUCUUUAAUUUAGGCUAAGCAAAGGUAAGUUGAUCUCUCUCCAUUUUCGUAUAAUGAAGUCUUUAAACGUAUUUUAGUUUGAGAUUAUUUGUUGUAGAAGGCUUUGAAAGCCAUAGGAAUUUUGUGAUGAUUAUAUGGUGUGAGAGAAACGUACAACGCCUCUACUUAUUUGCUUUAUUACACUUGUUCACUUGUUUGACUUAUACUAUAAAUGAAUAUGUAGCUUGAAAGUGAUUAAGUGUAGUUACUUGAAGGUGAAAUUUUAUUUUGAAUUUUGUGAGGUGACUUAGUGACUUAAAAUUGAUAAAGCGUAGGUAUUUGAAAGGUGAAUUUUUAUUUUGAAUGUAGCUUAGUUUGGUGACUUGGGAGGUGACUUAGUGACUUGAAAUUGAUUAAGUGUAGGUACUUGAAAUGUGAAUUUUGUUUUUGAAUGUAGCUUAGUUUGGUAACUUGGGAGGUAACUUAGUGACUUGAAAUUGAUUAACUGUAGGUACUUGAAAUGUAAAUUUUUGUUUUGAAUGUAGUUUAGUUUAGUAAAUUGGUAGGUGACUUAGUGACUUGAAAUUGAUUAAGUGUAGGUACUUGAAAGGUAAAUUUUUGUUUUGAAUGUAGUUUAGUUUGGUAACUUGUGAGGUGACUUAGUCACUUGAAAUUGAUUAAGUGUAGCUACUUGAAAGGUGAAUUUUUGUUUUGAAUUUAUUUUAGUUUGGUGAAUUGGUAGGUGACUUAGUGACUUGAAAUUGAUUAAGUGUAAGCACUUGAAGGGUGAAUUUUUGUUUUGAAUGUAGUUUAGUUUGAUAACUUGUGAGAUGACUUGGUCACUUGAAAUUGAUUAAGUGUAGGUACUUGGAAUGUGAAUUGAUCAUUUUGAAUGUAGUUUAGUUUGGUGACUUGGGAGGUGACUUAUUGACUUGAAAUUGAUUAAGUGUAGGUACUUGAAAUGUGAAUUUUUGUUUUGAAUGUAGUUUAGUUUGGUGACUUGGGAGGCGACUUAGUGACUUGAAAAUGUUGAAGUUUAGGUACUUGAAAUGUGAAUUUAUCAUUUUGAAUGUAGUUUAGUUUGGUUACUUGGGAGGUGACUUACUGACUUGAAAUUGAUUAAGUGUAGGUACUUGAAAUGUGAAUUUUUGUUUUGAAUGUAGUUUAGUUUGUGACUUGGGAGGUGACUUAGUGACUUGAAAAUGAUAAAUUUUAGGUACUUGAAAUGUGAAUUUAUCAUUUUGAAUGUAGUUUAGUUUGGUGACUUAGUGACUUGAAAUGUGACUUUUUCAUUUUGAAUUUAGGUACUUGAAAUGUGAACUUUUAUGACUUGAACUAAUUACUUGAAUCUGAUUGAUUGUGUAGAUGGAACUUGAUUAUAGCUGGAUAUAUCAACGGAAUAAUGAUAAUAGAAUGGGUCUUAGGGUAGAAUUUGUUCAAGGUGUCAAUCGAUUUGUUGAACAUGCUAAGACACUUGAUGUGUAACGCCCCGAAAUCGGAUCCCGAGAUGUCACACGGUGCUUAGGAUCACAAGUGACCCCAAGCUAACCCUUCUAUUGGCAUAACUCAUAAGCAAUUGAACAAAAAGUAUAAAUCUAUACAAAUUUGUGGUAAAUAACUCUUUUCUGAAUAUGAUAGAUACAAAACUAAAUUUACAAGAUUACAACUCUGCUUUUACAACCAAAACUGGAACGAAAUACAUCAACUUCUACUGACUGUCUAUGAAGGCUCUACUAGUACUGACUAUAGGUAGCCGGGUCAUGACUCCCGACUAUCCCAACUCAAUACGACUGAAUAAAGAAAAUACAACACUAUUAGUUCUGCAUAACUGGCCCAAGCCCUUGAAUCAAAAGGACUCAUCACUUGCUGACUGGAUACCACGAACUGACUAGAUCUGAAGAUGCAUACUAUACCUUGUACCUACAUUUCGAGAAAAUGUAGCCCACAUAUAAAUAUGUGGGUCAAUACCAUGGAAACGUACUGAGCAUAUGGGGGUGCAAUGCAUAUAUAAAAUAAUAUUUUAAUAUUAUCUCAGUUUAUAAAACUAUGCAUGCUGAUAUAAAUGACUCACUUAACUCGAAUUAAAUCAUCGAAAUCAUGGAUGAAUAAAAUACAUGUAAAGUAAAACAAGCGAGUCAUUACAAUAAGUUCUCAAUUCACUUCUUCCUUGGUUUCAAACAUAUAGAGUAAUCAAGUUUCAAAACAAGUCUCUUUAGAAUAUAUAGUCUUUAAAUCUUUCAAAAACAAUGACUUUCUCAAACUCAAUAUUUCAAGCAAUUAUAUUUUCAUCUCAGAUAGAAGAAUACACACACACACUUACAACCGACAUAAACCAUGUGAGCUACAUGGAGUCCAACGUUCUACCCACGUUGGGGAGAGUCUUCCUAUUCCUUGCCAUCGGAGUAGGACCUUAAAUCAUCAAUCCAAACACUAGUGAUCACUAUAUAAAUCAGCCUCAGACUCACAUCCUACAGGGGCAUGUAAUUCUAGGGAAGUACCAAAACAGUUAUACCUCCUGCUCGAUGCUAAAGACUACUCCCGAACUUAGCUCAUAUCUUUUCAAAAGAAAAUCCACUAAUAAACAGUUCAACAAUUCACAACGGGAGCCAUCUUGCUACCCUUUUCAUAAUAAUCAAUAAAAGUGGAUUUCUUUUCUCAUCUUGGGUUCAAAAACAAUUCUUCCCCGACCAUCAAGGUCAAAUCAUUCUUCAUCAUCUCAAAUCAUUCAAAUCUCAAGGUGUUUAUAACACAUACUUCACAAAAUAAUAAUCUUAAAUAGAGCUCAAAACCCAUACAUCAAUAUCACAAUAAAACCUUUCAAAGUUUCAUACUUUAUGUCAUAAGCAUAAAAAUAAUCACUUAAAAAUCAAAAUUUCAGCUUUAUAGGCAACCAUGUCAAUAUUCUCAUGAAAACAUCAUAAGUCAUAAAUUCAUAUAUUCGAAUUCGUAGUAAAGCAUAUCAAAUCAUAUAUAUUUGUAAAGAAAAUUAACUUUGGGCACAAGAACGAAAGAAUGUUCUUGUUCAAAAAAAAACCCCACAUACCUUGAAAUUGAAGCUUUGAAUGAACUCUUAACCUUGGGACUCUAUUCGUGAAAAUAAUAGGUGCUCCUUGUAGCCCUCGGAAUGGGGAUUUCGAACCUCAAAGAAUUAUUGAAAACUCAUGGUUGAGUCUUUAGAUAUUUGAAUUUUUAGGUUGAAACCCUAAUGAAUUUUCUUGGUGAUUUUGAGAGAAAGUAAACUUAUUUUGGUGUUAUGGGAGUUUAAUCCCGAGUUAUAGACAUAAAUAGAGGUGUUUUUGGCACUAGGAAGUGAGGUAUGCAGCGCACAACCCAUGGUAGACCUUAAGGUGUGUGUCGCACACCUUAUGGCAGACAUUUAAGUGUGCCUCGCACUCCCAAUCACACACAUUUGAUUGGGCGAUGCAUUGCCCAUCGCACACCCUUACUACCUCUCACAAAAAUUGGCAUAACUCUUCGCUCGGGUAUCGAAUUUUUGCGAAAUUGGUAUAUUUGGAAAGUUAAUUCAAUUAUCUACAAUUUGAUAGGUCUCAAGAUGAAAAAUUCCAUGUAUAUUAAGAGAUAUUAAUGUUUGAAUUUGACCCUUGUAGAAUCGAAUGUCAAACUUUGGAUGAAUCAAUUGGUCUUAGCUCAACCUUGUUCUAGGUCAUUGCUAUAAAUAUUUUUCACCUCUAAAUUACUCCAUAGACUAGAAUAAUGAUCAUGCAACUUGUAUUCACGUGAGAAUCACUUGGAUUAGAGCUUAGAUGCGCAGGAACGACGGUUAGAAUUCUAGCACGAAAAUACGGGGUAUUACAUGAUGCUUGGUCACGUUUUUUGGGCUAUUCAUUGUCCUUGUGUUAGAUGUGAUGGUACAAUUCUUUUAAAAGAAGAAGUUGUGAAGGAACAUCUUUAUAGAAGGGGGUUUCUGAAGAAGUUGUGAAGGGACAUCUUUAUGAUAAGUGUAUGCAUCCUUUGCAACAUGGUUUGCAUAUGGGGUUCGUAAGUGUACUAAUAUUUCUAUAAAUUUUAAACAUUUACACAAUCUUCAGCUAACAUAUACAUUUUUAGUGUGUGUGUGUGUGUAAUAUUUUUAGGUACACUAGUCACCAACUACGGCCGCAUACGAUCAGUUCUUGAGAGAUAUUUCUUUGGGACUAUUUGAAGCUCGUACAAUAUCCCAUUACACAGUAAAUGAGUUUAAAUUUCCCAUCGAAGAACACUCCAAAACAAGAGAAACAAACAAUAGUGGUGUUUGGAUUAAGGGUGAUGAUAAUGUUGAUUACUUUAGCAUCAUACAAAAGAUCUUAGAAAUGGAGUAUACAGGGUUGCCAAUAAAAAAAAAUUGUCCUCUUUCGAUAUAAGUGGCUUGAUCCAAGAACAAGAGGCACAAGAGUACAUAAGGAGCAUAACAUCAUUGAAGUGAAACACAAUAGACCGUAUCUUGUUUACGAUCCCUUUGUUCUCAUGCAAAAUGCUAAACAAGUGUAUUAUGAUCCUUAUCCGUUGAGCAGUGAUAAGUCUGAUUGGUGGAAUGUAAUCAAAACAAAGCCUAUAGGAUGAGUGUAAGUUUAGAAUGUGUUAGAGACUUCAUAUCAAAAUGAAAUGCAGAUUGAUCGCCAGUUAGUAGACAUUGAUUUAGUGGAUAGUUUGAACCAUCCGAAAUAUAUUUGAAGAAGUUAAUAUUGUAGAAGAAGAGUCUAAGUGGGUAAGAGAUGAGGAAACUUUGAAGAGGGUGAAUGGUUUAGUGGAGAAUCUUCGGGAGAGGAGGAUUAGGUUGCGUAGGUUGUAUUUGUUAUGUAUUGAUGUCUUUAUGCUUUGUACUAUUUACCUUUAUGUUUUUUGUUUAAUAUUGAUAUGUAAUAUACUGUGUAAGAUUUUCGUUGUCACUUUUCCAUCUUUAAUGCAGUAGUAGAAGUAUUCUUGUCUAUCUCGUGUUGUUGGAGCAAGCUGAAACUUGCUAUGGUUAUGUAACUAUUGUACUGGUGUUUUAAUACUGAUUUAGUGACUUGAAAUUAGUUAUAUGGAAUGUUUUCUUAUAUAUUCAUUUUGUAAAGACUAACUACUUGUUAACUUUACAUAAUUUAGAUGGCAGGUAAAGGUGACAAAUGUAAGCAAAAAGUUGAUCAUAUAAAGACAAAAAAAAAAAAAAAAACCUCUGCCUUAUAGACGACCG